GACGAACGCUGGCGGCGUGCUUAACACAUGCAAGUCGAACGGAAAGGCCCUGCUUUUGUGGGGUGCUCGAGUGGCGAACGGGUGAGUAACACGUGAGUAACCUGCCCUUGACUUUGGGAUAACUUCAGGAAACUGGGGCUAAUACCGGAUAGGAGCUCCUGCUGCAUGGUGGGGGUUGGAAAGUUUCGGCGGUUGGGGAUGGACUCGCGGCUUAUCAGCUUGUUGGUGGGGUAGUGGCUUACCAAGGCUUUGACGGGUAGCCGGCCUGAGAGGGUGACCGGCCACAUUGGGACUAAGGUACGGCCCAGACUCCUACGGGAGGCAGCAGUGGGGAAUAUUGCGCAAUGGGCGGAAGCCUGAUGCAGCGACGCCGCGUGCGGGAUGACGGCCUUCGGGUUAUAAACCGCUUUCGCCUGUGACGAGGCGUGAGUGACGGUAAUGGGUAAAGAAGCACCGGCUAACUACGUG
RNAcentral lists this ribosomal RNA (468 nucleotides) under uncultured bacterium. RNAcentral describes it as "partial 16S ribosomal RNA". It matches the Rfam family "Bacterial small subunit ribosomal RNA", at positions 28 to 507 of the family's 1533-position model. The record is from RNAcentral.